UUCUCUUCUCUUCUUUCGUUGAAACCCAGCCACCUGACGUCGUUGAAGCCUAGCCACCCAAAGCCCUCCGUCAUAGCCCAGCCACUGAAAGCACUCUAUCUCUCUCUCAAAUUUAUAUAUCUAUAUAUAUUUAUGUAUUUAAUGUUUUCUACGAUUUUUUUUACAGGUAAAAUAGAGAUCUUACUUUGGUCUCUCAUUCCCCUCUCUUCUCCUUCUCUGAUGAUGAAAAUAACUCCUUCCCCCUUUCCUUCUGAUUCUUCGGUGUAGCCGUGUAGGAGAUCCGCCAUACGCCUUCGCCGCUGCCUCUACUCAAUGAAAUCUCGUUGAAGCAUUUGUUCUUAUUAUUUUUCUUGGUUUUUUGCUUUUAGAUGUCGACACUACAGAAGGAAAUGUCAGAUUUGAGAUCCAUGCUUUAAGGACUAUCCAUGAAGUCACUAUCAUAACGAGGCCAGGGGCCACAGUCAGUACUUGAGGAAAAAGUUGAGGCUUCCCCCUAGUGACCUCGGGCACGCCAAGUGUGACGUGCUACGUCAUGACACACCUCCAGGGGGCCAUUUUGUAUAUAUGAGCAUGUCUUGGUGCUUGAUCAUUAGUCAAGUCUUGCACCAAGUAACCUCAUGGGUAGGGGAUGACACUUUUGUAAUUAUGCAUAUGUCUCCCAGACAAAAAUCAUAUAUUGUUCUUGGAAAGACUUCAUUUCCUUAGAAAGCUCCUUAGGGGGAGGUGACCUGGUGACUUAAGGAAGCACCAUGGCCACCAGCAGAUAGGGGCUUAAGUUGUGUACUCCUUUGACCUAUCAAGAUCUUAUAUGAAUAAAACGA
Long non-coding RNA from Humulus lupulus (European hop), 821 nucleotides. RefSeq lists it as uncharacterized. The transcript has 3 exons. NCBI's taxonomy places the organism in Eukaryota, Viridiplantae, Streptophyta, Magnoliopsida, Rosales, Cannabaceae. The record is from RefSeq and is a predicted model, not a curated record.